UACGUAGGGACCGAGCGUUGUCCGGAAUCAUUGGGCGUAAAGAGCGUGUAGGCGGCUAUUUAAGUCCUGCGUGAAAUCCUGCGGCUCAACCGCAGACGGUCGUGGGAAACUGGAUGGCUAGAGUGCGGGAGAGGAGAGUGGAAUUCCCGGUGUAGCGGUGAAAUGCGCAGAUAUCGGGAGGAACACCGGUGGCGAAGGCGGUGCUCUGGGCCGGUACUGACGCUGAGGAGCGAAAGCGUGGGUAGCAAACAGG
RNAcentral lists this ribosomal RNA (253 nucleotides) under uncultured bacterium. RNAcentral describes it as "partial 16S ribosomal RNA". It matches the Rfam family "Bacterial small subunit ribosomal RNA", at positions 524 to 776 of the family's 1533-position model. The record is from RNAcentral.